CCUACGGGGUGCAGCAGUGGGGGAUAUUGCACAAUGGGGGGAACCCUGAUGCAGCGACGCCGCGUGGGUGAAGAAGCGCCUCGGCGCGUAAAGCCCUGUCAGCAGGGAAGAAAAUGACGGUACCUGAAGAAGAAGCCCCGGCUAACUACGUGCCAGCAGCCGCGGUAAUACGUAGGGGGCAAGCGUUAUCCGGAUUUACUGGGUGUAAAGGGGGCGCAGACGGCGAUGCAAGCCAGGAGUGAAAGCCCGGGGCCCAACCCCGGGACUGCUCUUGGAACUGCGUGGCUGGAGUGCAGGAGGGGCAGGCGGAAUUCCUGGUGUAGCGAUGAAAUGCGUAGAUAGCAGGAGGAACACCGGUGGCGAAGGCGGCUUACUGGACCAUAACUGACGUUGAGGCUCGAAAGCGUGGGGAGCGAACAGGAUUAGAUACCCUAGUAGUC
RNAcentral lists this ribosomal RNA (440 nucleotides) under uncultured bacterium. RNAcentral's name for it is "partial 16S ribosomal RNA". It matches the Rfam family "Bacterial small subunit ribosomal RNA", at positions 338 to 795 of the family's 1533-position model. The record is from RNAcentral.